GAGGGUAUGGCUCAGUGGUAGAGUGCAUGCCUAGCAUGCAUCAGGUCCUGGGUUCAACCUCCAGUACCUCCC
RNAcentral lists this transfer RNA (72 nucleotides) under Camelus bactrianus (Bactrian camel). It matches the Rfam family "tRNA". Rfam says of the family: Transfer RNA (tRNA) molecules are approximately 80 nucleotides in length. Their secondary structure includes four short double-helical elements and three loops (D, anti-codon, and T loops). Further hydrogen bonds mediate the characteristic L-shaped molecular structure. tRNAs have two regions of fundamental functional importance: the anti-codon, which is responsible for specific mRNA codon recognition, and the 3' end, to which the tRNAs corresponding amino acid is attached (by aminoacyl-tRNA synthetases). tRNAs cope with the degeneracy of the genetic code in two manners: having more than one tRNA (with a specific anti-codon) for a particular amino acid; and 'wobble' base-pairing, i.e. permitting non-standard base-pairing at the 3rd anti-codon position. The record is from Rfam by way of RNAcentral. Lineage: Eukaryota; Metazoa; Chordata; Mammalia; Artiodactyla; Camelidae. RNAcentral also lists the same sequence under 2 other names.